CAGUACAUUUAUUUUUUGACUUAAGAUUGAGAACAUUGUCGAAACAAACAGAAUGUAUAUGUUUUGGUUUGUUUGUAGGAAGGCUUCUUCAUACAACCUGAGCGGUUAAAUGUGCUGAUGUCCUCUUUGAAUAGUAAAGAUGGAAACUCAGUAACUGUGGAAGACCUGGCUGCUGGUAUUCAGGCCUGGAGCAGAAAGCAUCAGGAAAAUGAAGAGCAGCAAUCAAACCCAGGUUAUUGGAAUGCAGACUGUGAGAAAAGGAUUGGGUCGAGACAUUAUCUUCCAAUACAUGGAGGGGAGAAAGAUGACCAGAAGGGCAUGCAGGAUGUGGAGGUGUUAGCGAUCAUGCGGAGAGUUCUGGCAGCCUCCAAGACCUCCUGCCCUUCUUCUCUGGGUGGACCUAUGGGCAGAGAAGUGGAUCGUUUCAGGAGACUUUGUUUCAGAGAAUAUCUGAAAUCACUGGAGCAAUGCCAACGACAAGCGCUUAAUGUGAGCCAGGCCACACUACAGAAAGUCCUGUUGCACCCUGGUGACAUGAGCAUGUCUAGCAUCUUCAAAUUGGGAGGGAAAGGUCACUUCGGGACACCCAAAACUCAUCAAGCUGAAGGUGGCACAAAUAAGGGCCACAAAGAGAUGAAGAAGCAGCCGGUUUGCUGGGCGGACCCUAAUGCUUUCUGGCCUGGAAGGGAAGAUCAUGUGCGCUUGUUCCUGCCUGUAAAGACAAGCUCUCCUGCAAUGGUUUUAUUUCAGCGUAUCGAAACUACUGUUUUGCCAAGUCCUGGCCACUGGCCUGUAAAUCAUUUAGGAUACUCAACCUCUGGAGACAUAGAAGCUCGCAAAACGUACACCCUCUAGAAUAACUUGUACCAUAUUGAAUGUCUGUAUUAAAUAGGACAUUGUUGUUCUGACUUUCUAAAAAGCAAAUUUCCAUUACCAUUAGUUUGCAUGCACAAGCAUUAAAGUAAUAGGUGUGCUGAUAUUUUUAGCUGCACAGGUUUUGUCACUCAACAUAUUCUAUCUUAUCUGUGACAGAUUCAACUAAAACAGUCAUGUUUGAUUUAAUAAAUAUAUUAUUAUAAUAUUUCUCUCUAUACUUUUUUUACAGUAUGAAGUGUGAAUGUACAAAUAUCUUGUGUGUGUUGUGUGAAUAGAGCCCUGUUUCUGUAUUCCUGAUACCAGGGUAUUUGCAUUAGGAAGUAUAAAGCAGAGUGACUAGUUUGAUGAUAUAGAUCAGGACACCUGUGAGUAAAAAAAACAAAAAAAACAGAAAGAGCACACUUUAGCAGAGAGGCAGCAAAGAUGGAGGACAAAGAGAUGUCACGGAUUUCAAGUUCGCUCCUGUCGACGCGCGAGAACGGUCUUCUCUUCAGUUUACUAAGCAAUGACUGUAGUGUGAGUUUACUUUUUUUUCUCUCAUCCCUUUAUCCUGUUUUUUUUAUAUAUAUCACCAGAUCUAAAUACCAUGUAUACAAUAAAGCAUACUGUGCACAACAAUUACUGUUAUUGUGCUUCCCGUAAUUCACUGUUAUUAGAGUGUGUUGUUUGAGAUAUGUGUCAUUCUGUGAAAUAAGUUUUUAUUCUUCAUACUAUUUGCUUCAGCUAAUAGUCAUAGGAACAUUUCUAUCUAUUUUUUCAAUUAACUUGAUGUUCAAAAAUAAUUUAUAUAAAAUAUAUAUAUACAAAUUUAAGCAAACAUAACUAAAACAACAACAUUAGUAAAAUUUUAACUGAAAUGAAUAUAGAAAUAUCAAAAUAUAUAAUAGUAUCUGAAUAAUACUAGAAUAACAGUGACUGGGACACCCAUACAUGCUCUUCAUGCUCUUUUGUCGAUUUAUCUGGAAUAAACCACCUGAUCCUAACCACUGAC
RNAcentral lists this long non-coding RNA (1867 nucleotides) under Carassius auratus (goldfish). RNAcentral's name for it is "lncRNA (ENSCARG00000044425.1)". Lineage: Eukaryota; Metazoa; Chordata; Actinopteri; Cypriniformes; Cyprinidae. The record is from RNAcentral.